Molecule: long non-coding RNA, 321 nt
Filed under: Volvox carteri
Lineage: Eukaryota; Viridiplantae; Chlorophyta; Chlorophyceae; Chlamydomonadales; Volvocaceae
Description: long non-coding RNA (VCAR_LNC004290)
Source: RNAcentral
GUAAGAACGCUUAAGAAUGGUGAGAGAACGCUGUAAGAACGCUUGAGAACGCUGUAAGAACGCUUAAGAAUGGUGAGAGAACGCUGUAAGAACGCUUGAGAACACUGUAAGAACGCUUAAGAAUGGUGAGAGAACGGUGUAAGAACGCUUGAGAAUGCUGUAAGAACGCUUAAGAAUGGUGAGAGAACGCUGUAAGAACGCUUGAGAACGCUGUAAGAACGCUUAAGAAUGGUGAGAGAACGCUGUAAGAACGCUUGAGAACGCUGUAAGAACGCUUAAGAAUGGUGAGAGAACGGUGUAAGAACGCUUGAGAAUGCUGUA